UCCGGUUUGUCACCGGCAGUCUCAUUAGAGUGCCCUUUCGUAGCAACUAAUGACAAGGGUUGCGCUCGUUGCGGGACUUAACCCAACAUCUCACGACACGAGCUGACGACAGCCACGCAGCACCUGUGUAUCGGUUCUCUUUCGAGCACCCCUGAAUCUCUCCAGGGUUCCGACCAUGUCAAGGGUAGGUAAGGUUUUUCGCGUUGCAUCGAAUUAAUCCACAUCAUCCACCGCUUGUGCGGGUCCCCGUCAAUUCCUUAGAGUUUUAAUCUUGCGACCGUACUCCCCAGGCGGUCAACUUCACGCGUUAGCUGCGUUACCAAGUCAAUUAAGACCCGACAACUAGUUGACAUCGUUUAGGGCGCGGACUAC
This 372-nucleotide unclassified non-coding RNA is filed under the name uncultured Gammaproteobacteria bacterium. RNAcentral's name for it is "contains 16S-23S intergenic spacer region". The record is from RNAcentral. Lineage: Bacteria; Pseudomonadati; Pseudomonadota; Gammaproteobacteria.